RNAcentral lists this unclassified non-coding RNA (314 nucleotides) under plant metagenome. RNAcentral describes it as "partial contains 5.8S ribosomal RNA, internal transcribed spacer 2, and large subunit ribosomal RNA". The stretch from base 1 to 105 matches the Rfam family "5.8S ribosomal RNA", at positions 50 to 154 of the family's 154-position model. The record is from RNAcentral.
GAAAUGCGAUAAUUAAUGUGAAUUGCAGAAUUCAGUGAAUCAUCGAGUCUUUGAACGCACAUUGCGCCCCCUGGUAUUCCGGGGGGCAUGCCUGUCCGAGCGUCUUUGCUGCCCUCAAGCACGGCUUGUGUGUUGGGCUUCCGUCCCUGGCAACGGGGACGGGCCCAAAAGGCAGUGGCGGCACCAUGUCUGGUCCUCGAGCGUAUGGGGCUUUAUCACCCGCUCCCGUAGGUCCAGCUGGCAGCUAGCCUCGCAACCAAUCUUUUUAACCAGGUUGACCUCGGAUCAGGUAGGGAUACCCGCUGAACUUAAGC